Molecule: non-coding RNA, 72 nt
Organism: Ornithorhynchus anatinus (platypus)
Lineage: Eukaryota; Metazoa; Chordata; Mammalia; Monotremata; Ornithorhynchidae
Source: Rfam
AGCAGCGUGGCUCAGUGGAAAGAGCACGUGCUUGGGAGUCAGUGGUCAUGGGUUCGAAUCCCACCUAUGCCA